UUUGGUUUGUUACGUGUGGUUGGCUGCGGCGUUUGCAACAACUUCCAUGCUUUCAGACCUCUUCAGUUGUGCGGCAAGGCUUGUAUCGCCUUGAGCGUGCUGUGGGUUUUCUGUGUUGGCUACCUAAUCAAUGGUAUCGGUUGGAUUGAUCAAAGUUUGAUUUCGUCUUCCGUCGCAUUCGCGGCGUGGGGUGAACCUCGAUGCGGUCUCUUUGAUCCACCUCGUUGAAGCACAUGCCUCGACGUUGUGGCACAUUGAGCAUUGCUUGGUCUCUUGUAUACGGAACAUAUAGUGGGCAUGGAUCUAACGAUUCUCGUUUGCCCUCAUAUUAGCGUAACGCUUCUCUAACACGACUUGCGCCACGUUUUAG
RNAcentral lists this unclassified non-coding RNA (370 nucleotides) under Artemisia argentea. RNAcentral describes it as "partial external transcribed spacer". The record is from RNAcentral. Lineage: Eukaryota; Viridiplantae; Streptophyta; Magnoliopsida; Asterales; Asteraceae.